Molecule: ribosomal RNA, 269 nt
Filed under: uncultured bacterium
Lineage: Bacteria
Description: partial 16S ribosomal RNA
Rfam family: Bacterial small subunit ribosomal RNA
Source: RNAcentral
UACGAAGGGGCUAGCGUUGCUCGGAAUGACUUGGCGUAAGGACGGCGUAGGCGGAUGGUACAGUCAGAUGUGAAAUUCCCGGGCUCAACCUGGGGGCUGCAUUUGAUACGUGCGGACUUGAGUGCGGAAGAGGGUCGUGGAAUUCCCAGUGUAGAGGUGAAAUUCGUAGAUAUUGGGAAGAACACCGGUGGCGAAGGCGGCGACCUGGUCCGAUACUGACGCUGAGGCGCGAAAGCGUGGGAGCAAACAGGAUUGAGAUACCCGGAGUA